UAUUCCUGGGAUCUCUUGUACAUGAUAAUCUCACUCUUGUACAUGAUAAUCUCACUCUUAUAAGGUUUCAUCGUUUCUGCUUACUCUAGUUUUCUUUCCCACUCUGUUCCCUCUCCCACCAGACUGGACUCUGAAAUGGGCAUGUACAGAGAUGAAGAGACCCCAACAUGCUUCAGGCUUUGAGUGGAGAGGACACAGCCUCUGCUGGGACAGGGAACAGAGGGAUGUGGAGUCCCUGAAGAUGCUUUUGGACAAUGGUCUGAGGUUGGCAUGAGCCAUGACAUCAGAGAUUCCGACCUUCCUGAUUGGAGGGACCGGACUCCCUGGUGCCUGGAGAUCAGUUGGACAACAGUAUCUUCUCAGAGCUGUUCUCCACUCCUGACUUCUCCUAGGCUUGAGAAUUGAUAACAUCCUCUUCUGGAUCCUGACAGUGUCCAGAAGAAGGCCAUGGACAGAACGGAGACUAGGUUCCAUAAGAGGGGACAGAUUACGGGAAAGAUCACGACCAGCCGUCAACCGCACUCCCAGAAUGAGCAGAGUCCCCAGCGGAGCACCUCGGGGUACCCCCUCCAAGAGGUGGUGGAUGAUGAAGUGUUGGGACCAUCAGGUGAGGGGACUGGUGGAAGAAGAGGUGGGAUAGGAUUGACUAAGACGAAGGAAGGGGGCCAGGUGCGGUGGCUCACG
This 684-nucleotide long non-coding RNA is filed under the name Pan troglodytes (chimpanzee). Its description in RNAcentral is "long non-coding RNA NONPTRT015585". Lineage: Eukaryota; Metazoa; Chordata; Mammalia; Primates; Hominidae. The record is from RNAcentral.